RNAcentral lists this non-coding RNA (18 nucleotides) under Arabidopsis thaliana (thale cress). The record is from RNAcentral. Lineage: Eukaryota; Viridiplantae; Streptophyta; Magnoliopsida; Brassicales; Brassicaceae.
GAGCAAUGUUAUAACUGC